RNAcentral lists this ribosomal RNA (301 nucleotides) under uncultured bacterium. RNAcentral describes it as "partial 16S ribosomal RNA". It matches the Rfam family "Bacterial small subunit ribosomal RNA", at positions 509 to 808 of the family's 1533-position model. The record is from RNAcentral.
CAGCAGCCGCGGUAAUACGUAGGGUGCGAGCGUUAAUCGGAUUACUGGGCGUAAAGCGUGCGCAGGCGGUUCGUUAAGACAGAUGUGAAAUCCCCGGGCUUAACCUGGGAACUGCAUUUGUGACUGGCGAGCUAGAGUAUGGCAGAGGGGGGUAGAAUUCCACGUGUAGCAGUGAAAUGCGUAGAGAUGUGGAGGAAUACCGAUGGCGAAGGCAGCCCCCUUGGCCAAUACUGACGCUCAUGCACGAAAGCGUGGGGAGCAAACAGGAUUAGAUACCCCAGUAGUCCCUGUCUCUUAUACA